This 666-nucleotide ribosomal RNA is filed under the name Triticum aestivum (bread wheat). RNAcentral's name for it is "partial small subunit ribosomal RNA". Lineage: Eukaryota; Viridiplantae; Streptophyta; Magnoliopsida; Poales; Poaceae. The record is from RNAcentral.
GUGCAAUUAUCACACGGGUUUGAUGUAUUCCGAUGGAACCUACAUAGGAAUGGACAGUUCUCUGUAGAGUCUAUGUAUAGAGCGUUAAUUCAGUCUGAUGUGCCAGUUGAUAAUAACAAAAAGAUCUGGAAGAUGAAGAUACCGCUUAAGAAUAAAAUCUUCGCAUGGUACCUUCGUCGUGGAGUCAUUCUUACUAAAGAUAACCUUAUUAAGAGGAAUUGGCAUGGAAGUCCGUAGUGUGUCUUUUGUCACCAUGAUGAGACAAUAAAACAUUUAUUCUUUCAAUGCAAAUUGGCUCGUUCUAUUUGGUCAGUCAUCCAAAUAGCUUUUGACUUGUAUCCUCCUUGUAGUGUUGCUAAUGUAUUUGGCAACUGGCUACAUGGAAUUGAUCACAGGUUUAGAACCCUUCUCAGAGUGGAAGCGCUUGCCGUUAUUUGGUCGCUUUGGCUCUGUAGAAAUGAUAAGGUUUUUAACGAUAAAAGUACUUCUCUUAUGCAGGUUAUCUACAGAUGUACCAGGACUCUUCGUUUAUGGUCCUCUCUACAACGUGUGGAGAAUCGCGAUCUGUUUAUGGAGGUGUGUACACGAUUGGAGGCUACGGCGAGGGAUACUUUUACCCAACAUGGGUGGCAGCAUGAUCUUAGGAUUGGCCUCCCUCCGCUUUAG